AUGAGCGGUUGGCUGAUGUCGCUAGUCGAGGCGGCUACCGGCGCGCCGGUGGCCGUGGAGGAGUUUGGCCCCGCCCCGGUGUGCUUCGAGGAGGCCGUGGUGUCCAGGAGAAACUUGGCCGGUAUGAGCACGGAGAGGCUCCUAGAGGCGUUCGACUUCAUCCGGUGCAAGGCCAGGGCAAAGUGCGGCGUCGCCGAUGCGCCCGGAGCCGGCAACGAAGCUACAAACCUACGCGUCACCAUUCUCUUCCGCACGGGCGGCCGGUCCUUCAAGGACGAGGCGGGCGUCGAGCGGGUGUUCCGUAAGGAGUGCACGCGCGUGGCCGGGCCAAGCUGCAUGCUGACCGUCGCGCGUUCCGACAACCUGACCUUCUGCGAUCAGGUGAGGUUGCUGAGCAGGACAGACGUGUUCAUCUCGGCGCACGGGGCACAGGUGACGAACCAGCUGUUCAUGGACCGGAACAGCAGCGUCAUGGAGUUCUACCCGAUGGGGUGGAGGCAGCGGGCGGCGGGCGGGCAGUUCGUGUACCGGUGGAUGGCGAGCCGCGCGGGGAUGCGGCACGAGGGCUCGUGGUGGGACCCUGCCGGUGACCCAUGCCCCGAUGGUAACCCGGACAUUUUCAGCUGCUACAAGAACCGGCGGAUCGGGAUGGACGAGGCCGCCUUCACCGAGUUUGCAGCCAAGGUCUUCACCGCUAACAAGGAGCGCAAGUCGGUGAAGGCGCGACGAGGGCAAGAAGCGGGAACUAAUUGCAAAUACAACUAG
Molecule: ribosomal RNA, 765 nt
Filed under: Triticum aestivum (bread wheat)
Lineage: Eukaryota; Viridiplantae; Streptophyta; Magnoliopsida; Poales; Poaceae
Description: partial small subunit ribosomal RNA
Source: RNAcentral